GCGCGAAAACUUUACAAUGCGGGAAACCGUGAUAAGGGGACACCGAGUGCCAGCAUCAUAUGCUGGCUGUCCAGAUGUGUAAAAUACAUCUGUUAGCAAGGGCCGGGCAAGACCGGUGCCAGCCGCCGCGGUAACACCGGCGGCCCGAGUGGUGAUCGUGAUUAUUGGGUCUAAAGGGUCCGUAGCCGGUUUGGUCAGUCCUCCGGGAAAUCUGAUAGCUCAACUAUUAGGCUUUCGGGGGAUACUGCCAGACUUGGAACCGGGAGGGUAAGAGGUACUACAGGGGUAGGAGUGAAAUCUUGUAAUCCCUGUGGGACCACCUGUGGCGAAGGCGUCUUACCAGAACGGGUUCGACGGUGAGGGACGAAAGCUGGGGGCACGAACCGGAUUAGAUACCCGGGUAGUCCCAGCCGUAAACGAUGCUCGCUAGGUGUCAGACAUGGCGCGACCGUGUCUGGUGCCGCAGGGAAGCCGUGAAGCGAGCCACCUGGGAAGUCGGGCCGCAAGGCUGAAACUUAAAGGAAGUUGGCGGGGAG
RNAcentral lists this ribosomal RNA (536 nucleotides) under uncultured Methanosarcina sp. Its description in RNAcentral is "bacterial SSU rRNA". It matches the Rfam family "Archaeal small subunit ribosomal RNA", at positions 339 to 876 of the family's 1478-position model. The record is from RNAcentral. Lineage: Archaea; Methanobacteriati; Methanobacteriota; Methanomicrobia; Methanosarcinales; Methanosarcinaceae.